This 300-nucleotide ribosomal RNA is filed under the name uncultured bacterium. RNAcentral's name for it is "bacterial SSU rRNA". It matches the Rfam family "Bacterial small subunit ribosomal RNA", at positions 399 to 691 of the family's 1533-position model. The record is from RNAcentral.
GCGUGCGGGAAGAAGGCCUUCGGGUUGUAAACCGCUUUUGGUCGGGACGAAAGGGCGCUGGUUAAUACCUGGCGUUGUUGACGGUACCGGCAGAAUAAGCACCGGCUAACUACGUGCCAGCAGCCGCGGUAAUACGUAGGGUGCGAGCGUUAAUCGGAAUUACUGGGCGUAAAGCGUGCGCAGGCGGUGGGUCAAGUCUGAUGUGAAAGCCCCGGGCUCAACCUGGGAAUGGCAUUGGAAACUGGCUUGCUCGAGUGUGGCAGAGGGGGGUGGAAUUCCGCGUGUAGCAGUGAAAUGCGU